UUUUGUAAGCUUCGAGGAGGAAAACGUAAUUAUGUCUUGUGAAUCCGCGCUAGAACGAAUAUGGGGGGGGAGAGACGCCAUGGCGUUGUUUACAUCCCGGGGCCCAGUAGCAGGUCCCAGCCUCUUCCUUCUCGGGUGAUUUCUAGAGUAAAUAAUUGAGAGAAGACUACAAGUGUGUCCCAUCCCUGAAUUGGGAGUUCCCUGCUUUGUGCUUUUAAGUCAGGCCAACAGGUUGAGACUCAAGCUGUUUUGGUCAGGACUUGAGGAUGUUGACCAGAGUCCGCUAAUAUCCUUCAAUAUUUAGUGUUACAGACACCUGCUCCAAGUGAUACGCCAUGACAGAAGUGUUCCGGUUCGGCCUCGUGCCCAUCGCUUGUCGUGCCCGGAAUGAGGACCGCAGCCAAGUGGCAUUGAGUCUCAACAACAAUGAAGUGAAUAUAUAUGGCAGAGCUGCAUCAGAGUGGAAGCUUCAGGAAACACUCCAGGGUCAUGAUCUGCGUGUCACAGGCAUUGACUGGGCUCCCAGCACCAAUCGCAUUGUUACAUGUGGAGCACUUCGAGGAGGAAAACGUAAUUUUGUCUUGUGAAUCCGCGCUAGAACGAAUAUGCAUCCCAGCCGGGGGGGGAGAGACGCCAUGGCGUUGUUUACAUCCCGGGGCCCAGUAGCAGGUGACCUUCCUGGAAAUUACCGAGACUUAGUGUGCUUU
Molecule: unclassified non-coding RNA, 707 nt
Filed under: Homarus americanus (American lobster)
Lineage: Eukaryota; Metazoa; Arthropoda; Malacostraca; Decapoda; Nephropidae
Description: actin-related protein 2/3 complex subunit 1A-like, transcript variant X5
Source: RNAcentral